GCACCCAUUUUAUUCUUCCUUGGCCUGUGCUACCCAGGGACUGUGAUAGCCAGGCGUUACUGGAGGAGCCAGAGGAGGAGCAAGAGGAGGAACCAGAGGUCCAAGUGCAAGCUUGAGCAUUAAAGUUCCUGUAAGAAGCUGUGAACGGUGCUUGGCUCCAGUCGGUUUUGAUAAGACCUCCUCUUGUAGCCCAAUCAUCUGCAUUCCAGAGGCUUGAGUAUAUCCACAUUGGUUGGCUCUUCGGGUAUGGGAUGCCCUUCGAUUCCAUGUUCUUGAACUCUCUAAUCGGGGUCCCAUCCACAGAAAGGCUGAAAAGUGUAGGAAGAUGUGUCAGGAAAUAUAAAUCUAGCUAUAAUUUCACUGUACCAACUAAUAAAAACUCUUUUUUUUUUUU
Molecule: long non-coding RNA, 394 nt
Filed under: Populus tremula
Lineage: Eukaryota; Viridiplantae; Streptophyta; Magnoliopsida; Malpighiales; Salicaceae
Description: long non-coding RNA (PTRE_LNC002586)
Source: RNAcentral